Molecule: ribosomal RNA, 550 nt
Filed under: uncultured fungus
Lineage: Eukaryota; Fungi
Description: bacterial SSU rRNA
Rfam family: Eukaryotic small subunit ribosomal RNA
Source: RNAcentral
UGUAGUCAUAUGCUUGUCUCAAAAAUUAAGCCAUGCAUGUGUAAGUAUAAAUCGUAAGAUGAAACUGCGAAAGGCUCAUUAAAACAGUAAUCGUUUAUUUGAUGGUCAAUUUCUAUGUGGAUAACCGUAGUAAUUCUAGGGCUAAUACAUGCUUAACCGCCUGACUUUUUGGAAGGGUUAUGUUUAUUAGAUACAGAGCCAACCCAGCUCGCUGGAGUACAGAGGUGAAUUAUUGUAAAUUAAUUGAUCGUUAGUUUUUCUAGCGACAUAUCUUUCAAGUUUCUGACCUAUCAGCUUUGGACGGUAGUGUAUUGGACUACCGUGGCUAUGACGGGUAACGGAGAAUUAGGGUUCGAUUCCGGAGAGGGAGCCCGAGAAACGGCUACCACAUCUAAGGAAGGCAGCAGGCGUGCAAAUUACCCAAUCCUGACAAAGGGAGGUAGUGACAAGAAAUAACAAUACAGGGCGAUAAUGUCUUGUAAUUGGAAUGAGUGAAAUUUAAAUCUCUUUCCGAGUACCAAUUGGAGGGCAAGUCUGGUGCCAGCAGCCA